This 483-nucleotide ribosomal RNA is filed under the name uncultured bacterium. Its description in RNAcentral is "partial 16S ribosomal RNA". It matches the Rfam family "Bacterial small subunit ribosomal RNA", at positions 30 to 506 of the family's 1533-position model. The record is from RNAcentral.
AUUGAACGCUGGCGGCAGGCCUAACACAUGCAAGUCGAGCGGAUGAAGGGAGCUUGCUCCUGGAUUCAGCGGCGGACGGGUGAGUAAUGCCUAGGAAUCUGCCUGGUAGUGGGGGAUAACGUCCGGAAACGGGCGCUAAUACCGCAUACGUCCUGAGGGAGAAAGUGGGGGAUCUUCGGACCUCACGCUAUCAGAUGAGCCUAGGUCGGAUUAGCUAGUUGGUGGGGUAAAGGCCUACCAAGGCGACGAUCCGUAACUGGUCUGAGAGGAUGAUCAGUCACACUGGAACUGAGACACGGUCCAGACUCCUACGGGAGGCAGCAGUGGGGAAUAUUGGACAAUGGGCGAAAGCCUGAUCCAGCCAUGCCGCGUGUGUGAAGAAGGUCUUCGGAUUGUAAAGCACUUUAAGUUGGGAGGAAGGGCAGUAAGUUAAUACCUUGCUGUUUUGACGUGACCAACAGAAUAAACACCGGCUAACUUCGU